Molecule: long non-coding RNA, 3335 nt
Filed under: Sus scrofa (pig)
Lineage: Eukaryota; Metazoa; Chordata; Mammalia; Artiodactyla; Suidae
Description: lncRNA (ENSSSCG00040011190.1)
Source: RNAcentral
CGAAAGAAAAGCUUCAGUUUGUCCAUGAAAGUAGGGGUGACUGACUGUCCCAGUUUGCCCAAAACUAGAGGGGUUCCCAAGAGAGGGGAAUAGCAGUAAUUGCACUGGGAAAGCAGCAGGCAAACUGGGAUGAUCUGGUCACUGUAGGCACACACACAAGACAGAAUCUGAAUCAAUCCAUAAGCGUUAAUUUAGUAGAUACACUAGGCUAGAUGUAUCUCAAGGACCGACUUCCCCCUCAACCCUAAACCUGGCCAGAACAGGUAGGGGGCGGGGUUAAACAGUGCGCACACGCAUGCGCAUGUGCACACAGCCAUCACCUGAGUAGCUCUGUGCCUUUGGUGUAUUCGGAGUUUGGGUAAGAGUCCCCUGAAUAAAAAGUCCAUUUAUUUUACGCUGAGAGUCAUACACUGGCUUAUUUUACCUUCUCAAGAAUAAUGAACUACUUCAAUAAGAAAACACAGCAACGAUAACAGCAAAAACUGGCAAAACCCUAUCAAACAAACCUAAACCAAAUGUUCACUAGAGAAAAAUUCUUUUUGGUUCCCUUGAUUUUUCACUCUUGUCUUUCUUGCUAACCAAAGAAAAUGCACAAAGGUUAGUAUAGAAAUUUGUUUAAGUACUCAUGGUAAUAAAAAUGAAUUCCAGAAAUUCAAUAAUGUAGCUUAGGUAUUUAACGUUUUUUUUAACUCUCCUUUUUGAAUAUUAGUUUCAUCCUAGGGGGAAAAAAAGGAAAGAAACCACCUAAGAACAAUGAAUAGCAGGGCUCCUGAUAGCAAAGGAGGGUACCGAUGGCAAAGGUGUUUUGUUUUCUUUAAUCAUGGAUAUUUCCAACUGGCAGAAAAGAGCUUUUUUUCCUCACAUAUAAAGUUAAUGAUACUGCCGAAAGAAGUUACUUUCCUGCCUCAAACUUCAAACUUUCUUGCCUCAAACAGAUUCAGGAAAGCAGUAUUUUUCAAGACGCUGCAAUAUUUAUACCAGGGGAGUUAAAGGGCAUUCAUGUGCUGUCAUUAUUUGAGGAAGAAAAGCAAAGAAUUCACGGGAAAGUUCAAUACACCAAUCUCAUCUCUCCUGUCUUUUUUUUAACCUGUCCUAAAGAAAAGCUAUGCUUUCUCUUCUACAGUAAAUUAGACUUUCAUUUUUGGCAGAAAUUUGGCCAGCAACAAUAAAGGAUCUAAAAUUAAAUAGAUAUAGGGAAGUGAACACUAAAGUGUCAAUAAAAUUUGAAGUAAAAUUUUAUUCACAAGAUAAAGAUACAUAAAUGUUACUAUACCUUCCAGCAAACAUAGUUUCUGCCUGCGCUGCAAUUUCAUCUAUAUCAGGAACAAUAGCUGCAAAGAUAAAUGGUAAAAUCCAUUCUUUAUUUUUUAUAAUUAGGAGUCCCAAUAUUUAUAUUAAUAUUAGCAUACCUAAAAAUAUUUUGCCUUAAUUUCCUUAUGCCACUGAAAGUCAACACUUUAAAAAGUCACAAUACAGCUCCUCUUAGCUGCUAAUAUUUUAAAUUGAAGUUAACAUUUUAAAAUAUAUAUUGUUAUAGCCAAAGAUACAUUUAGAAAAUCAAAAAGCACCAUUUACAAAGUUACCUCAUCUCUAAUGACAAUGCCAGAUCCUUAACCCACUGUGCCACAAGGGAACUCCUACAUACAUAUAAUUUGAAUGAGUAAUGACAUGGAAGGGUAAUAUUUUUUAAAGAUCACAAUAUACCAGAAUGAACUAGGUAUGUUGUUACUAUAUUGCACUUCCAAACAACAUGAUCUUUUUAAUAAGCUUACUUCUAUAAUUCCAUCCCUUCUUGUGGGACAGGAUGCUUGAUUUUUUUUUUCAAUGUAAACUAAUAAUCAUGAUUCUUCACUCAUCCCCACCACUAACAUUUUAAAGAUAUCUAUGAUAAGUACACAAUUUAUUUCUCAUCUCCAAAGCAUAAAAAGAAAACAGAGCAAGAUAUAAAAAGGGAAAAAGAAUUCUUCCCAGAAAGCUACCUCUGACGCAUACAACCAAUUUAAAAGAUCAGGUAAAUCAGAGAGAACUAAUUUUCUGGGGCUGCCCCUAGACUUUCCCUCCCACACUUUUACUGACACUUAGAGCUCCUGUUUUCCAGAAGUCUGGCUUCUGAGAGCCAAUAAUUUUUAUGCAAGUGUCAAUGCAACCGCCAGCAAGACUCUCUCCUUCUGCUGUAUCAUUCCUGGAAAUAGCACUUUGGGGUUCUACACUUCUGGGAAGCAUAAAAACAACACUGUUGCAAAUGUGCCAGGGAAACUUCUAGCUCAGGAGAGCUUAACUCUGUCUGUAGAGGCAAGCUGCCUUUUGGAUGGUACCAGUGAGUCAGAUAGCAAGAUGUUUGGUCUAGCAUCCAUUUUAACUAUAUACCUAUAAUCACGGACUCAUUCUUAUCAAAUUGACAGAUGGAUAAAGAAGAGGAGGCUUUUUAACAUUGUCACAGUGGGUGUGGUUAAGAGACAGUUCUGUAUCUGUGUAUAAAUUCUACCACCAGAAGAGGGAUUCUGUUAACAGGCUAAAUCUUCCAUACAACAUAGUUUCCAACUUGCCAUAACCAACCUGAUCAAUCCAGGAAAAUGGUAAUUUAAUAUAUCUUAGGUUUCAGUAGGUACUUUCUAGAGUCAUAAAAAUUUAACAGUACUUCUUAUACUCUCAUGUCACUAUGCUCCUACACUCAAAGUGUCUUCACUCUUAACACAUUUUUUGGUCAUGUCCAGAAGUCCCCUGGCCAGAAAUGGAACCAGCACCACAGCAGUGACCCAGGCCACUGCAGUGACAACCUGGAUCCUUAAACCGCUGUGCCACAAGAGGACUUCAUUUCUCACAAAUUUUAAAUGUGAAAAAUUGAAAUACAGUACUAGUUUACAACCAUGCAAAGUAAUUUAAAAAAAAAAACAAAAAACAGAAACACAUACACAAUAAAACCAACGCUCACAUCCAGACUUUCAGGAAAUGCUAUACUAUUCUUGAGAUGCAUGAUGGCUUCUUACAAAAUAUUUUUCCUCCUGAAAGCUACAUUUCAUUCUGCUCUUUGAUCCAGGUCAAAAAAAAUUCCCUGGAGUUUCACCAAAAUAGCAUAAUGUUUAAAAAUUCAGACUCUGGAGUUGGAAAGACCAUCAAGAGAAUCCCUUUACCACCACUUUCAUGACCUUUAGCAAGUUGUAAUCCCUCUGACCUAGGUUUUCUUACCCAUAAAAUGGCACAAUAAACAAUCCCUUGACCUCAUAAAAUUGUGAAGAUUACUAGAGAAACCGGAUUCAAAGAACUGAACACCUGUAGCAGCAAACAUCCUCCUUGCUAUUAUAGGCAAGUUACAUAAUGUUCUAUCUCAGUUCCUU